This 252-nucleotide long non-coding RNA is filed under the name Lathyrus oleraceus (garden pea). RNAcentral's name for it is "Pisum sativum (pea) long non-coding RNA (PSAT_LNC034609)". The record is from RNAcentral. Lineage: Eukaryota; Viridiplantae; Streptophyta; Magnoliopsida; Fabales; Fabaceae.
UAGAUGACACCCGUGAGUGGGGAGGGAAUGAUCAUUUUAACAGGUACAGAUGGUGACUGAUGGUGACUUGAUGGUAACUCAGGGUUCUGUUGGUGACUCAGUUUCUCAGAUUGGGUUCAGAUGACAGUUGAUCAGUUGACUUCGGGUUUCAAAUGAUUGUGAUCAGAGUUCGAGCCGAAGCUUCGAUCCUGUGUCCAGAGAUGCACAGCUUUCCAGUCGUGUCUGCAUCAUGUGCAUCAUAGCAUGUUUAUU